This is a small nuclear RNA of Paramormyrops kingsleyae, 93 nucleotides long. The record is from RefSeq and is a predicted model, not a curated record. NCBI's taxonomy places the organism in Eukaryota, Metazoa, Chordata, Actinopteri, Osteoglossiformes, Mormyridae.
UAGAUGUAUGAAAGGAGAGAAAGUUGACAAGGAUGGUAGCGGUCCUAGUGGACUUCAGCACCUACUUCAUGGCAUUUCUAAGCUAGUUUUUUU